This 355-nucleotide RNase P RNA is filed under the name Candidatus Hydrogenedentota bacterium. RNAcentral's name for it is "RNase P RNA component class A". It matches the Rfam family "Bacterial RNase P class A". From Rfam's summary of the family: Ribonuclease P (RNase P) is a ubiquitous endoribonuclease, found in archaea, bacteria and eukarya as well as chloroplasts and mitochondria. Its best characterised activity is the generation of mature 5'-ends of tRNAs by cleaving the 5'-leader elements of precursor-tRNAs. Cellular RNase Ps are ribonucleoproteins. Lineage: Bacteria; Pseudomonadati; Candidatus Hydrogenedentota. The record is from RNAcentral.
UGACCGGGCCGGGCGGUCGCGGCGUGCUCCGACACGUCGAGGAAAGUCCGGGCUCCGUAGGGCAAGGCGCUUCGUAACACGAAGGCGGAGUGAUCCGACGGAAAGUGGCACAGAAACCAUACCGCCGGCGCAAGCCGGUAAGGGUGAAAAGGUGCGGUAAGAGCGCACCAGCACCAUGGUGACAUGGCGGCUGGCUAAACCCCGCCUGGAGCAAGUCCAAAUAGGGAACCUGUGGCGUGGCCCGCGCCGGUUCCGGGUAGGACGCUAGAGGCGCGCGGUGACGCGCGUCCCAGAGGAAUGACCGCCACGGGGCACACGCCCCGUACAGAACCCGGCUUACAGGCCCGAUCAUCCC